GACGAACGCUGGCGGCGUGCUUAACACAUGCAAGUCGAACGGACAGGCCCUGCUUUUGUGGGGUGCUCGAGUGGCGAACGGGUGAGUAACACGUGAGUAACCUGCCCUUGACUUUGUGAUAACUUCAGGAAACUGGGGCUAAUACCGCAUAUGAUCUCCUGCUGCAUGGUGUUGGUUGGUAAGUUUCGGCGGUUGGGUAUGUACUCGCGGGUUAUCAGCUUGUUGGUGGGGUAGUUGCUUACCAAGGCUGUGACGGGUAGCCGGCCUGAGAGGGGUAACGGCGACAUUGGGACUGAGAUACGGCGCAGAAGCCUACGGGAGGCAGCAGGGGAGAAUAUUGCAGAAUGGGGGGAAGCCAGAGGCAGAAAUGCUGGGUGCGGGAUGACGGGCUUUGAGGGGUAAACAGAUGUGGAAUGUGAUGAAGAGGGAGUGACGGUAAUGGGUAAGAAAGCAACGGCUAACUACGUG
Molecule: ribosomal RNA, 468 nt
Filed under: uncultured bacterium
Lineage: Bacteria
Description: partial 16S ribosomal RNA
Rfam family: Bacterial small subunit ribosomal RNA
Source: RNAcentral